GAAGGUGACCUGUGAGGGUUGCUGGAGGUAUCAGAAGUGCGAAUGCUGACAUAAGUAACGAUAAAGCGGGUGAAAAGCCCGCUCGCCGGAAGACCAAGGGUUCCUGUCCAACGUUAAUCGGGGCAGGGUGAGUCGACCCCUAAGGCGAGGCCGAAAGGCGUAGUCGAUGGGAAACGGGUUAAUAUUCCCGUACUUGGUGUUACUGCGAAGGGGGGACGGAGAAGGCUAUGUUGGCCGGGCGACGGUUGUCCCGGUUUAAGCGUGUAGGUGUGUGUUCCAGGUAAAUCCGGUUCACUUUAACACUGAGGCGUGACGACGAGGCACUACGGUGCUGAAGCAACAAAUGCCCUGCUUCCAGGAAAAGCCUCUAAGCAUCAGGUAACACGAAAUCGUACCCCAAACCGACACAGGUGGUCAGGUAGAGAAUACCAAGGCGCUUGAGAGAACUCGGGUGAAGGAACUAGGCAAAAUGGUGCCGUAACUUCGGGAGAAGGCACGCUGACACGUAGGUGAAGUGAUUUACUCACGGAGCUGAAGUCAGUCGAAGAUACCAGCUGGCUGCAACUGUUUAUUAAAAACACAGCACUGUGCAAACACGAAAGUGGACGUAUACGGUGUGACGCCUGCCCGGUGCCGGAAGGUUAAUUGAUGGGGUCAGCGCAAGCGAAGCUCCUGAUCGAAGCCCCGGUAAACGGCGGCCGUAACUAUAACGGUCCUAAGGUAGCGAAAUUCCUUGUCGGGUAAGUUCCGACCUGCACGAAUGGCGUAAUGAUGGCCAGGCUGUCUCCACCCGAGACUCAGUGAAAUUGAACUCGCUGUGAAGAUGCAGUGUACCCGCGGCAAGACGGAAAGACCCCGUGAACCUUUACUAUAGCUUGACACUGAACAUUGAGCCUUGAUGUGUAGGAUAGGUGGGAGGCUUUGAAGUGUGGACGCCAGUCUGCAUGGAGCCGACCUUGAAAUACCACCCUUUAAUGUUUGAUGUUCUAACGUGGACCCGUAAUCCGGGUUGCGGACAGUGUCUGGUGGGUAGUUUGACUGGGGCGGUCUCCUCCUAAAGAGUAACGGAGGAGCACGAAGGUUGGCUAAUCCUGGUCGGACAUCAGGAGGUUAGUGCAAUGGCAUAAGCCAGCUUGACUGCGAGCGUGACGGCGCGAGCAGGUGCGAAAGCAGGUCAUAGUGAUCCGGUGGUUCUGAAUGGAAGGGCCAUCGCUCAACGGAUAAAAGGUACUCCGGGGAUAACAGGCUGAUACCGCCCAAGAGUUCAUAUCGACGGCGGUGUUUGGCACCUCGAUGUCGGCUCAUCACAUCCUGGGGCUGAAGUAGGUCCCAAGGGUAUGGCUGUUCGCCAUUUAAAGUGGUACGCGAGCUGGGUUUAGAACGUCGUGAGACAGUUCGGUCCCUAUCUGCCGUGGGCGCUGGAGAACUGAGGGGGGCUGCUCCUAGUACGAGAGGACCGGAGUGGACGCAUCACUGGUGUUCGGGUUGUCAUGCCAAUGGCACUGCCCGGUAGCUAAAUGCGGAAGAGAUAAGUGCUGAAAGCAUCUAAGCACGAAACUUGCCCCGA
RNAcentral lists this ribosomal RNA (1567 nucleotides) under Salmonella enterica. RNAcentral's name for it is "partial 23S ribosomal RNA". It matches the Rfam family "Bacterial large subunit ribosomal RNA", at positions 1252 to 2802 of the family's 2925-position model. Lineage: Bacteria; Pseudomonadati; Pseudomonadota; Gammaproteobacteria; Enterobacterales; Enterobacteriaceae. The record is from RNAcentral.